RNAcentral lists this ribosomal RNA (241 nucleotides) under uncultured bacterium. Its description in RNAcentral is "partial 16S ribosomal RNA". It matches the Rfam family "Bacterial small subunit ribosomal RNA", at positions 15 to 265 of the family's 1533-position model. The record is from RNAcentral.
GAUCCUGGCUCAGGAUGAACGCUGGCGGCGUGCCUAACACAUGCAAGUCGAGCGAUUCUCUUCGGAGAAGAGCGGCGGACGGGUGAGUAACGCGUGGGUAACCUGCCCUGUACACACGGAUAACAUACCGAAAGGUAUGCUAAUACGAGAUAACAUAAGAAAAUCGCAUGUUUUUCUUAUCAAAGCUCCGGCGGUACAGGAUGGACCCGCGUCUGAUUAGCUAGUUGGUGAGGUAAUGGCU